GACGAAGGGGGCUAGCGUUGUUCGGAAUUACUGGGCGUAAAGCGCGUGUAGGCGGUUGUUCAAGUCAGGUGUGAAAGCCUUGAGCUCAACUCAAGAAAUGCACUUGAUACUGGAUGACUAGAGGACCGGAGAGGAUAGUGGAAUUCCCAGUGUAGUGGUGAAAUACGUAGAGAUUGGGAAGAACACCAGUGGCGAAGGCGGCUCACUGGCCCGGUACUGACGCUGAGGCACGAAAGCGUGGGGAGCAAACAGG
Molecule: ribosomal RNA, 253 nt
Filed under: uncultured bacterium
Lineage: Bacteria
Description: partial 16S ribosomal RNA
Rfam family: Bacterial small subunit ribosomal RNA
Source: RNAcentral